UAGGGAAUUUUCGUCAAUGGGCGCAAGCCUGAACGAGCGAUGCCGCGUGAGUGAAGAAGGCCUUCGGUCGUAAGCUCUGUUGCGGGGGAAAAAGGCAGCAGUCAGGAAAUGGGUGCUGACUGAUGGUGCCCCGCCAGAAAGUCACGGCUAACUACGUGCC
Molecule: ribosomal RNA, 160 nt
Filed under: uncultured bacterium
Lineage: Bacteria
Description: partial 16S ribosomal RNA
Rfam family: Bacterial small subunit ribosomal RNA
Source: RNAcentral